AAGCAAUAGGUCUAUUAUAGUUGUUGUAUUGAAGAAUUGUUAGCUGUACAUGCCUGCCUGGCAUGGUUCAUCUGACCUUGACCUCAUUUUCAUGGUUCAGUGGUCAAUGUUUAGUUUUCUUGGUUAAUGUUUAGUUUAUGUGACAGUUGUAAUAAAGCUUUAUAUUUAGGACUAUCAACAUAAUAUCAACGAUUAGUAAAGAAGGCGAGACAUUUCAGUGUGUGCACUCUUGU
This 233-nucleotide long non-coding RNA is filed under the name Mytilus galloprovincialis (Mediterranean mussel). The record is from RNAcentral. Lineage: Eukaryota; Metazoa; Mollusca; Bivalvia; Mytilida; Mytilidae.